Long non-coding RNA from Hemicordylus capensis (graceful crag lizard), 829 nucleotides. RefSeq lists it as uncharacterized. The record is from RefSeq and is a predicted model, not a curated record. Lineage: Eukaryota; Metazoa; Chordata; Lepidosauria; Squamata; Cordylidae. The transcript has 2 exons.
CCGAUGGCACCUGUGAAACCUAGAAGGGGUCGUUCCAAAUAUAGUGUAAUGAGGAGCCUCUCCUACUCUCCACCCUCGAGCCUGAAAAAUGGACAAGAUCUGGACUCCUGUGCUCCUCCUGAAGGCGUGACUAUGGAAACGGAGAACAGAGAUCCUCAAGAAGUAGAGUGGGAAUCUGAGAGCCGAGAACCACCAGGAACAGCCCUAAAGCACAGAAACCAACCUUUUGUCAUGCUUCACAAAACGGCUGGACCAGAAAUGAUGGCAUCAGGAAAGAGAAAAAGAGUGCAUACCCCAUGGAAGACAACCACUCUAUCAUGCUGUGGUUUAUUUUUUAUUUCAUUUGGACCCCACCUUUCUCCUAGGAGUUCAGGGAAGCGCCCGUGGGCACAAUUCUAUCCUCACGAUCACCCUGCGAGGUUGGCUAGGCCAAGAGAUGCCAAAUGGACCAAGGCCGCCCAGUGAAUUUCAGGGCUGAGUGAGGAUUCACGCCUGGGUGUCCCUGCUAUCCCUAGGCACGUUCCAGAUGACACGCUGCCACAGGGGUAAAAUGCUUUGGCUUGGCCGGAUAGAAUUGAAAACGACCCCCAGAAUCUCAAACUCUUACAACUGGAAAAUAUAGCUAUUUUUCUGCAACGGACUUGCAACGUUGUAGCACUAUAGCACAAAGAUAAAAUCCGAAAGGUGGCAUCGGAAAUGUGAAUAGCACCUUGCUGUCAGCGCAGGGACUGCGGUUUCAUAACACAGGAAGUAUGGACACACACUUUGUGGAUUCGUAGCAAUACUCUGUGCUGGUCAGUGAUUGUAAUAAAGGAAUUGAUUGACUGAU